Molecule: ribosomal RNA, 274 nt
Filed under: uncultured bacterium
Lineage: Bacteria
Description: partial 16S ribosomal RNA
Rfam family: Bacterial small subunit ribosomal RNA
Source: RNAcentral
AUACGGAGGGUCCAAGCGUUAUCCGGAAUCAUUGGGUUUAAAGGGUCCGUAGGCGGAUAAUUAAGUCAGAGGUGAAAUCCCACAGCUCAACUGUGGAACUGCCUUUGAUACUGGUUAUCUUGAAUUAUAGUGAAGUAGAUAGAAUAUGUAGUGUAGCGGUGAAAUGCAUAGAUAUUACAUAGAAUACCGAUUGCGAAGGCAGUCUACUAACUAUAUAUUGACGCUGAUGGACGAAAGCGUGGGGAGCGAACAGGAUUAGAAACCCUAGUAGUCC